This 236-nucleotide ribosomal RNA is filed under the name uncultured Actinomycetales bacterium. RNAcentral's name for it is "partial 16S ribosomal RNA". It matches the Rfam family "Bacterial small subunit ribosomal RNA", at positions 96 to 334 of the family's 1533-position model. The record is from RNAcentral. Lineage: Bacteria; Bacillati; Actinomycetota; Actinomycetes; Actinomycetales.
UGGCGAACGGGUGAGUAACACGUGGGUAAUCUGCCCUGCACUCUGGGAUAAGCCUGGGAAACUGGGUCUAAUACUGGAUAUGACCUUUCUCCUUAUGGGGUUUGGUGGAAGGUCUUUCGGUGUAGGAUGAGCCCGCGGCCUAUCAGCUUGUUGGUGGGGUGAUGGCCUACCAAGGCGACGACGGGUAGCCGGCCUGAGAGGGCGAUCGGCCACAUUGGGACUGAGAUACGGCCCAG